AAAGUUUCAAUAACCCAACUCGGCAAACUUAAUUUGU
This 37-nucleotide small RNA is filed under the name Romboutsia ilealis. RNAcentral's name for it is "CRISPR spacer". The record is from RNAcentral. Lineage: Bacteria; Bacillati; Bacillota; Clostridia; Peptostreptococcales; Peptostreptococcaceae.